GCCGGGGUGGCGAAGUUGGCAGACGCACGGGACUUAAAAUCCCGUGGGCCGCAAGGCCCGUGCGGGUUCGAUCCCCGCCCCCGGCACCA
RNAcentral lists this transfer RNA (89 nucleotides) under Acidobacteriota bacterium. RNAcentral's name for it is "Acidobacteria bacterium (groundwater metagenome) tRNA-Leu". It matches the Rfam family "tRNA". Rfam says of the family: Transfer RNA (tRNA) molecules are approximately 80 nucleotides in length. Their secondary structure includes four short double-helical elements and three loops (D, anti-codon, and T loops). Further hydrogen bonds mediate the characteristic L-shaped molecular structure. tRNAs have two regions of fundamental functional importance: the anti-codon, which is responsible for specific mRNA codon recognition, and the 3' end, to which the tRNAs corresponding amino acid is attached (by aminoacyl-tRNA synthetases). tRNAs cope with the degeneracy of the genetic code in two manners: having more than one tRNA (with a specific anti-codon) for a particular amino acid; and 'wobble' base-pairing, i.e. permitting non-standard base-pairing at the 3rd anti-codon position. Lineage: Bacteria; Pseudomonadati; Acidobacteriota. The record is from RNAcentral.